This 468-nucleotide ribosomal RNA is filed under the name uncultured bacterium. Its description in RNAcentral is "partial 16S ribosomal RNA". It matches the Rfam family "Bacterial small subunit ribosomal RNA", at positions 28 to 507 of the family's 1533-position model. The record is from RNAcentral.
GGCGAACGCUGGCGGCGUGCUUAACACAUGCAAGUCGAACGGAAAGGCCCUGCUUUUGUGGGGUGCUCGAGUGGCGAACGGGUGAGUAACACGUGAGUAACCUGCCCUUGACUUUGGGAUAACUUCAGGAAACUGGGGCUAAUACCGGAUAGGAGCUCCUGCUGCAUGGUGGGGGUUGGAAAGUUUCGGCGGUUGGGGAUGGACUCGCGGCUUAUCAGCUUGUUGGUGGGGUAGUGGCUUACCAAGGCUUUGACGGGUAGCCGGCCUGAGAGGGUGACCGGCCACAUUGGGACUGAGAUACGGCCCAGACCCCUACGGGAGGCAGCAGUGGAGAAUAUUGCACAAUGGGCGGAAGCCUGAUGCAGCAACGCCGCGUGCGGGAUGACGGCCUUCGGGUUGUAAACCGCUUUCGCCUGUGACGAAGCGUGAGUGACGGUAAUGGGUAAAGAAGCACCGGCUAACUACGUG